Molecule: transfer RNA, 509 nt
Filed under: Coleofasciculus chthonoplastes WW9
Lineage: Bacteria; Bacillati; Cyanobacteriota; Cyanophyceae; Coleofasciculales; Coleofasciculaceae
Description: 16S-23S ribosomal RNA intergenic spacer
Rfam family: tRNA (bases 214-286)
Source: RNAcentral
UUUUCAGGGAGACCCGGUGAAAAAAUCAGUACCCAAAUAGAUARCUGAUUGAUAUCACCAAUCCCAGGUCGUGCAAGGAAGAAGUAGAUUGGCUUUCAAACUGAUUUYGGUUCGGGAAAUGGGCUAUUAGCUCAGGUGGUUAGAGCGCACCCCUGAUAAGGGUGAGGUCCCUGGUUCGAGUCCAGGAUGGCCCACCUGUUCCAUUCAGGAAGAGGGGGUAUAGCUCAGCUGGUAGAGCGCUGCCUUUGCAAGGCAGAUGUCAGCGGUUCGAGUCCGCUUACCUCCAUACUUCCCCAGUUAAGGAGUUAGGAGUGGCGGCAAAAGCGAAUAGCUAGAAGCCAACCGAAAAAAAGCAUUCAGCACCUGUACUUUUUAAUUGAAAAAGUCAGAAUGCUGAACGUGAAGUUCAGUCAGAACCUUGAAAACUGCAUAGCGAGAGAAAAAGUCAAUUUAGUAAGAACAAUGCCAAAAAAAAGGCGUUUGUGUCUUACACAGACAAAAGUAUAGAU